RNAcentral lists this ribosomal RNA (461 nucleotides) under Theileria annulata. Its description in RNAcentral is "SSU rRNA". It matches the Rfam family "Eukaryotic small subunit ribosomal RNA", at positions 578 to 1077 of the family's 1831-position model. Lineage: Eukaryota; Apicomplexa; Aconoidasida; Piroplasmida; Theileriidae. The record is from RNAcentral.
GGUAAUUCCAGCUCCAAUAGCGUAUAUUAAAAUUGUUGCAGUUAAAAAGCUCGUAGUUGAAUUUCUGCUGCAUUGCUUGAGUCCCUCUGGGGUCUGUGCAUGUGGCUUUUUUCGGACGGAGUUUCUUUGUCUGAAUGUUUACUUUGAGAAAAUUAGAGUGCUCAAAGCAGGCUUUCGCCUUGAAUAGUUUAGCAUGGAAUAAUAAAGUAGGACUUUGGUUCUAUUUUGUUGGUUUUAGGUACCAAAGUAAUGGUUAAUAGGAACAGUUGGGGGCAUUCGUAUUUAACUGUCAGAGGUGAAAUUCUUAGAUUUGUUAAAGACGAACUACUGCGAAAGCAUUUGCCAAGGAUGUUUUCAUUAAUCAAGAACGAAAGUUAGGGGAUCGAAGACGAUCAGAUACCGUCGUAGUCCUAACCAUAAACUAUGCCGACUAGAGAUUGGAGGUCGUCAGUUUUUACGAC